RNAcentral lists this long non-coding RNA (1961 nucleotides) under Vigna radiata. RNAcentral's name for it is "long non-coding RNA (VRAD_LNC009794)". The record is from RNAcentral. Lineage: Eukaryota; Viridiplantae; Streptophyta; Magnoliopsida; Fabales; Fabaceae.
UGAUCUUAUGCUUGUGACACAUUGAGGACACUGCGUAGUUUAAGUGUGGUCUAUUGGGGGAGAUUCUGAAUUUUCUUUGUUAGUUUUCGUUUUCUGUGUUAAAUUUUUUGUUUUCUAGGUAGUUUUUGUUUUGUCUUGUGUACAGUUUUGCAUGUUUAUCUUGAUUUCUAGACUUUGUUUAGGUUGUCAGUUUUUCCUUCACUUCAUUGAUACUCUUAUUAGUUUGAAAUCCUUGCUUUUUUUUGGUGGGAAGAUGAUUAUGAUGUUUGAGAGGGUGACUGAUUGUGACAUAAAUACCCUGCGUGAGAAUUGAGCCACUUCAUAUUCUUUCUUGUGUGUGAUAUAUCUCUUGAUUGCUUGCAUAUAUGCCUUGGCUUGACUCUUUUUGAUGAUUCUUGAUUGAUAUGCAUGUUGGAAAGUGAUAAAGGCAGCUUUGUUGUUAAGCUCUCUAGCCAAAUGAGCCUACCCUGUUUUGAUCCUUUGAUAGCCCCUUUGAGCCUAUGCUUUCCCCAUUUCUUUGUUUUGAAGCUGAUACACUAGCCCUAAGUGAAAAACCAUGAUUACCUGAACCUUAGGGAAUUUUGGAGCUUUGGAAGUGUUUUGGGAAAAAGUGUGGUCUCCUUGGGGAUUCAGAUGAAUUGGCUAGUUGGUUCCUCUUCUUGUUUUUGUUUUUGUAAAUAUGUUGUGUAUCUUGUCUCUUACAGUUGUGUUCUACACAGAGAAAAAAAGAAAAAAAAGACAAGAUGAGAAAAGAAAAAAAAAUAGAGAAAAAUGAUUUUUUUUUUUGUGAAUAAUGGAGUCAAGAAGAGGAUUGAAGUAGAGGUUUUGGGUGUGAUUUGACUGUGUUUUCACUUGUUCCCCAUUGCUCUUCUAUUUCUUUUGGUUUGUAGCUUCUCAUCCAUAUUUUAUCCUCCCUUAACCUUGACCCCAUUACAUCCAUAAAAGACCUUUUGAUUUGAACAUGCAUAUAUGUUGUGAUUGUUGAUAUUAAAGACUUUCCAAGUCUGUUUGUGUUUGCUUUCUUGAGUGCAUUGAUGAUGGAAUCUGUUUUGGGAACUAAAUGGAGAUCUAUGAAGGGAGAAUCACUUAAGCUAAGGCUCGCAGAUUGGAAGAAGAAGAAGAAGGACUCUCAAUCUUAUUCUUGCUUUCCCUUAAGCCUUAGAAGACAUUUGACCUCUCAUUAAGAGCCAUGGUAAAAGAAGAUGGAAGAAGAAGAUGGAGCUUGAAGGAUUUUACUCUUGUGGAGAAUCACUUACUAGUCUUCUUAUUUUAUCUUUGUAAAUAUGUAAAAAGUUUCUUUUAUCUUUGUUUUAGAAGCUUAUUAGCUUUUAGAGUAAAGUAGUGCACCAUAAACCUUGAUGUAGGUGAAUAUGUGCUUAAAAUGGGUGAUAGGAAGCCUUUGGAACAUGUAAACAUCAAGGGAGGCUCUUAAACAUUGAACUUGGAUGGUAGUUAGGAGGGAAGGCUCUCAUUCCUCCCCCCUUGCCAUAGGAAGCUUCUAGUUCCUUUGUAGUGCAUUAAAUGCAAGCCUACUCCUUCACCUAUAAAAGGAGAGGCAACCUUACUUCAUUGUCUAUUUUUCAUCAAAUUUGUAUUGUUGUGUUAAUUUACUGUAAUAUGAGCAAAUGCCUUCCCUCUAUUGCCUAUUUCUUUCUUCGUGCGAUUGGGUAAAGCUUGACAAAAUGAUAUGAGGAUCUAUGGGUGCUGCAGGAAGGAAUUUUGAAUGUGCAAAAAAGCAGUCAGCGCUGAAAGAAGAGCUGAUGCAGCUGCAAUAGAUGGUUGAGCAGGAGAAAGCCAGUGUAACCUUGGUGAAAAUGCAUACUUGGGCAGGAGUAAAUCAGAUCAGUCAUUUUUUUUGCCUUUCUCUUAAAUAGUAGUUAUAGGUUCUUUAUGAUAGUUAAUGUAUUGUUAUUAGUAUUAUUAUUAUUACUACAAUCAUCAUCAUCAUCAUCAUCAUCAUC